AUGGGACCAAGGUUCACUAGAGUAGCAAGACCAUUUCUUCAUGAAUUAAAAUACAGCCUUAUUAGCAGACCCAGUGACACAUUGUGCUUGCUGAAAUGCAUAAAUAUCUGCAGGACAUCCCAAUGGAACCAAGGCUUUUACCAUCAUAGAAUUAUGGAAGCAUCUGGGUGGAUUCCCCCUCUAGGGAGUAUUGGCGCUUCCUGCUUUAGGUUCUUCGUCUGCUCCUGUAUUUCUCUCACUACAUGCUCCUUCAGCAGCCAGCACCUUGUGACUACUCUCCACCACUCCAGUUUGUUACACCUUCAGUUGUACCCUAAAUGCUCUUCAAUAACCAGGAUACACCAGCAUCAUCUGCUUUAAAGAGUGUGACGUAGAAAAGCUGCUGUCACUUGCUUCCAAUCAUUUAUGUCCCUUUCAGAAGAGAGUUGUAUUAUCGUUGAUCAUCCUGCUGGACAAUAUCUCAAAUCCCCACUGGACCGUGCCCCAGAAGCAUCAGCAGUAGAGAAAAGAUCUGGACAUAGUUGGAGAAAGAGGCACAUCCUCUGCAUGAAUCAGAAUCAUAGAGACGUCUGGAAGCAGACAUUUACAUGGUUCAGUUGAUGUGUGAAGGAGUGCCGUGUGGAAAUUCUUCACAAAAUCAGUACUAUCUCCCCCACAGCUGUAACUUACCCUCUCAUUAUGCUGAACGUUUCAGUGAGUCACUCGGCAGGUGCAAGAACUUUCCCAUUCCUGAAUUAUAUAAGCACCUAUGUCUCUUCAGAUGCUAAUGGAAGGUGGAGAAAGUCUAGUCCAUGAACUGCUGACAAUGAAUAGCCAUGUAGGCUCAAAUUAAAGCAACAUUCCUCAUCUUCAGAAAUUUAUUUGGAUACAUAAACCUAAUAUUAAGUGACAUUUGUGUUUUCCAUUUUCUUGAGCAAAUACUUUUGAAUAUGGUUUUAUAGAGUCGUGAUUACAGAGUACUCUAAAUUAUACUCAUAAGUAAAAAGGUUAAAGCUUAAUGUUUAAUCUGUCAACACCUCUGUUAUAAAUGAGAGAUAUUGUAUGUUGUUUCCUUUGGAAUUAAUUAUUUUUAUUAUCCUGGUCUCUUGUAAAACAGAAUUAAGAUAUUUGAA
Molecule: long non-coding RNA, 1112 nt
Filed under: Chrysemys picta bellii (western painted turtle)
Lineage: Eukaryota; Metazoa; Chordata; Testudines; Emydidae
Description: lncRNA (ENSCPBG00000013391.1)
Source: RNAcentral